This 843-nucleotide ribosomal RNA is filed under the name uncultured archaeon. Its description in RNAcentral is "bacterial SSU rRNA". It matches the Rfam family "Archaeal small subunit ribosomal RNA", at positions 478 to 1319 of the family's 1478-position model. The record is from RNAcentral.
GGCAGCCCGAGUGGUGAUCACUAUUAUUGGGUCUAAAGGGUCCGUAGCCGGUUUAAUCAGUCUUCUGGGAAAUCUAAUCGCUUAACUAUUAGGCUUCCAGGGGAUACUGUUAGACUUGGGACCGGGAGAGGUAAGAGGUACUGCAGGGGUAGGAGUGAAAUCUUGUAAUCCCUGUGAGACCACCAGUGGCGAAGGCGUCUUACCAGAACGGGUCCGACGGUGAGGGACGAAAGCUGGGGGCACGAACCGGAUUAGAUACCCGGGUAGUCCCAGCUGUAAACGAUGCUCGUUAGGUGUCAGGAACGGUGCGACUGUUUCUGGUGCCGAAGGGAAGCCGUGAAACGAGCCACCUGGGAAGUACGGCCGCAAGGCUGAAACUUAAAGGAAUUGGCGGGGGAGCACUACAACGGGUGGAGCCUGCGGUUUAAUUGGACUCAACGCCGGAAAACUCACCGGGGGCGACAGCAAUAUGUAGGUCAGGUUAAAGGUCUUACCUGAAUCGCUGAGAGGAGGUGCAUGGCCGUCGUCAGUUCGUACUGUGAAGCAUCCUGUUAAGUCAGGCAACGAGCAAGACCCGUGCCCACUGUUACCAGCAUAUCCUUUAUGGAUGAUGGGGACUCUGUGGGGACCGCUGCUGCUAAAGCAGAGGAAGGUGCGGGCUACGGUAGGUCAGUAUGCCCCGAAUCUCCCGGGCUACACGCGGGCUACAAUGGUUGGGACAAUGGGUAUCUACUCCGAAAGGAGUUGGCAAUCUCUUAAACCCAAUCGUAGUUCGAAUUGAGGGCUGUAACUCGCCCUCAUGAAGCUGGAAUCCGUAGUAAUCGCGUUUCAACAUAGCGCGGU